Non-coding RNA from Peromyscus maniculatus bairdii (prairie deer mouse), 520 nucleotides. NCBI's taxonomy places the organism in Eukaryota, Metazoa, Chordata, Mammalia, Rodentia, Cricetidae. The record is from RefSeq and is a predicted model, not a curated record.
CCAUUGUCCCCAGAAUCUGAAUCAGAAACACUGAAAACAGCAACUACAGCUUCAGGACCAUUUUCUGGGAUGGAAGUAGUGAGCGAAGAUAUGAAUCCCUGUCUCCAACUCUGAAGAUGCUGAUUAUGGUCUCAGGAGCAUUUUCUGGGACUGAGCUGGUCAGUGAAGAUAUGGUCAGCUCUGGGGCAUUGUCGUUCACAUCCACCACCUCUAUCACCACCUCUCCCUUCCCAGAAAGACCUCCUCCAUCUAUGGCCUCGAUUUCCAGGUGGACAGAGAGAUUUAUAACCACAUGGAGAGACUGCAGGUGAAAGAGAUUUAAUUUGGUCAAAUCAAAAGUAGGAAAUGACAAUUGGGAGGUAGAAUACUGCUGUGGAUUGACAGAUUUCAUCUUCAAGUAAUUCUACAUCAAGACAGACUGAAAUAGGAAGAAAGGAACCUAUUGAUAGAAACCAGUGGAAAUAUUUCCCCCAGGUCACCCUAUUUAUGGCAAGUAUUAGCAAUAAAAAGACUAAAACAC